GUUUAAUCAGGAAAACAGAGGUUUGAAAUAAAGAAAGUCCUGCAAAAUAUAGUAGGAUAGGGGUGUCUAUUCUUGACGUCAGAGUUGAUAUAGAAUUAUAAAUUGGGAGAGAGGCGAUAUAUAUUGUCAACACCCAUACGAGGUUUCAUAAUAAACGCGGCAAAUUUUUGGUCUUCUAAAGGGAAUAUGCACUAAAAUUACAUUUGACUUGUUGAGUCAUUUGAUGACUCGGGAUAUAAUUUUUUUUCAUGAUUUUAUUUAAAGGAAUUAUGAAUGACAUCAGAUGGGCUUUUAAUAUUGCUGAAUGGAUACCUGUUGCGCAGGAUUGGUUAUUUGCAAAUUCUUGUAUCUCCAAAGAAGAGAAGAAGAGAGUUCAUCAGUUUGUUUUUAAAAAUGAUGCAAAACUUGCUUUGGCAGGAAGGCUUCUAAUCAGAUCUUGCAUUAGUUAUCUUGCUGGCAUCCCUGCACCAGACAUUGUCCUUGAAAGAACUCAGAAAUCUAAGCCCUUCUUGGUCAACAACAGUUCUGGACUAAGUUUCAAUGUGUCACAUCAGGGAAAUUAUUCUGUCAUAGCUGGGAGCUUACUGAAUGAUGUUGGUGUAGAUGUAAUGAAAAUUGAUCGGCCUGUAAAUACAACCGUUCCUGAUUUUUUCAAAACAAUGACCCGUCAGUUUACGCCAGAAGAGUGGCAAGUAAUCAAAUCCAAAGAAUCGGAGCGAGACCAAAUGGCAGCGUUCUACAGAUUUUGGUGUUUAAAAGAAAGUUACGUGAAAGCUAUAGGCACUGGACUGGGAACAAGCACAGCUGAGUACAUGAGAUUUGAGUUGAAUACUGAGUCAUUGACAAAAGAGGACAUUGUAGCUGACAGUAUAUUGUACGUUAAUGGCCAGAAAAGUGACUGGACUUUUCACGAAUCUCUUAUCGAUGACGAGCAUAUCGCGACUGUGGCUGUGAAGCCGAACGACAGAUAUCAACAGCCUCCGAAAACUGUGCGAUUUGUCAAUGUAAAAUAUAAAGAGAUUAUCACGCAUGUGGCACCUAUAAUUCCUGAUGAUCCCGAAGCAUGGUUAAACUUCUCCAGCAAAAAGGAGAGACCCGUGAAAGUAUUUGAUAUCCCUUAAACAUGAUGUCAUUUUCCAAUACCAUUUGAAGACAAUAGAUGAUUGCCUGGGCUCUCGGCCAAUCAAAGAAUUUUGACUGCUAUGCUGUUAUUGACGAGAAAGAAUUUAUUUAUUAAGAAAAUGAUAUGCCAGAUUUAUCUAGUCGUAUUCUUGGCUUCAAGCGCAUUUCAAUGGAGCAGGCAAGACGUGUUACCGGCAGCAGAAAAACUAGAUAUGCAGACAACCAGAAGUAAAAUCGAAGCGAUGUUCAACAAUUUGGGAGCCACCAACGCCCUGUUGAAGCGUCUUAAUGUUUGCUUCAAGCAUUUCAUCGGGGACUUUCCUAGAGGUGGAAAAGUUCAUUGGAAGGAGUUCCAGUCAACAUCAGGUGCCCUUCGGUCUAAAAUCAAUGGUGAAGUGAGUUUGCGCGAAUUUUCUGAUGUCUAUAAGCAGUUUGAAGCAUGUGUCUGGGAAGAGUUAUUUUUACACAAUCACGAGUUUCAAAAACCAGGCCAGUUAGGAUUGAUAGAAGCAAAUAAAGACAUCAGAAGCACAGACGCAGAUGGAGCCGACAAUAGGGAAACUACUGAAGGAAGUGUCAAUGGACUUGAAAUUUAUCGCAAAAUGCUUCAACUUCGCCGCUAUAGAUUGUUCAAAGCUAGAAGAUCAUUUCGGAAUGAUAAUGUCGAAUCCGAGGCAUUGUCGGCAGGUGGCGCUGAAAGAUGGAGGGAAACAGCUCCAUACCCCGUAGAAGGGCGUUUUGGUUUUGCUGACCGAAAAAACGUAGAGGACCAUGGAGACAGGGUCAAAUCACCAUCUGGCGAAGAGUUUGCUGCAGCAGAAAGUAACCUUGGUAAGGUUAACUUUCGUCAUCUUGUUGGUAAUAAUGUCAUGGACUUUGCCAACAACAGAAAAAAUACAGAUGAAGGAGCUGAGCAACAGAAGAGGGGAUCACAAUUGAUCCGAUUCGGGAAAUAAAUUGAAUUAUUUCUCUCUUGAAACUUUGCUACAUAGUUGUUAGAGUUAUGUUUAGGAAUAAUUAUAAAAAUUCUAGAUGAAAUGCUAUGAAUACAUCGUUUCCUCUCCCUUGUCAAUGGUAGGCAGGGUCAAGCCACCUGCGUAAUGUAAUGGAGGCUAGCGUAAAAACAUGAAAAAUGGCUCAGAACCCCCUGUCGUAACAAUCGAGUCCCACGUACUGGGUGGUGCCCGGUUCUUUUCCGGUCAACCAAUGAGUUGACAGUCAUUUAAAUGAAGAGCUUAGGCACAUGACCUCGAGAGCUAGUUGCUUAGAUGUGUUGUAGUAUACAUAAAGUACCAAAAGUUUCUAUUUUCGGUAAAGCAGGGCAACCGAAUAUUUUCUUACCGAAUACUUGAACGCUGGAAAAAUCUCGUUUUAAACUGAUGGGCUUUCAAAAUAACAAAAAAUAUAAUCCUUGAUACAGUUUGUGCAUUACUAUACAUCCACAACACAUCGAUUUUAAGUUUUUUGAUCUCCUUCGUCAUCAACAAAUAAGAUAUUCAGCUCAUUUUCAAUAUCUUCUUUUUUGCCCUCUACAUCCAAGAACUUAAAAGUCUAUGGGCUGAGCUGAUGCUUCUACUGGCUCUUCAUAAUUUCUCUCAAUCAUUUCUUUCUAACGUUCCAGCUGUUUCAGUUUGGACGCCUGAAAUUUUAACUCACAAUCGAUCAGAAUUUCUCACCCCCUCCCUUGCGUUUUGCAGUCGAAAUCAUUGUGAACUCACUGUAAACGCUUCCAAUUUAUUUUUCUUCCAUGGGUUAUAGAAAAUGAUGUAAAUAAAUUCCAGAAACUUGUAUUUUUUUCAAUAAUUAAUAAUUCAUUAUCAUUGUUAUUAUUCAUUAAAGCGCCACUGAAAUAAAAAGUUUGGAUUUUUUUAUUGAUGUUCUCUGUCAAGUCAGUGCUACUGAAUCCGACGACCAUAACUUGAGACAGGUAUGUCUAAUUCGUCGAAGUAAUACACCAUUCGACUCAUCACGAGAAAAUCUUUUGAUUGAUGUACAUUAAAUCACAUUUUGAUGUUGUCGGCAAAUUAUGUUGUGACGUCAUUGCUUGAACUCAAAAGCAAUAUAUUGAUCAUACUGCUCCGGUAUAACUGAGAUUCAAGAAAUGUUGUGUGCUCAAGUCGUUGUCUAAAUCAAAAUAACUAAAAAAAAUUAUCGAGUUAUGGCCGUAAAAAGAUUUUCCAGGUGCCAAUUUAUGACGUCAUUUCCGGCAAAUGCUUAUCGAAAAUCAAAUGUACCCAGACUCAUUUUGUAGAGCGUACUUUAAAUCACCAAGUGCAACUUUCAAAACAAGAUCCACUAAGAUUUGUCACGGAACCGUAUAUUCCGACCCAAAUGUGUUCUAAAUAUCACUAGCUAUCUAACUACAAGCUCAUAUGAAAUAAGCAAACUUUUGCGUGCAGUUUGUAGCAAGACUUGAUUCUAAGGAGCAAAUUGAUCAAGGGAAGCAAUUUAUCUAUAAUAGAACCACACAAAUUGCACAUUUUUCGGCGCUUUCCCCACUUUCCAACUUACGUUGCCACUGUCAAAGCACUAGUUGCCGCCAAAAUCAUGCCUUAAUAUGUAAAACUACAAAUAGCCUUCUGUAAAUAGCCAGUCCCUUCUGUAAAACAACAAGGGGAUACUUUUCGGCGUCUAUUUACAUGCUAUCUUUUUAGCGUAUCAAAAUACUUAUAUCUACCAAGUUCCAUGCUUGUAUCGCGAACAAAAAGUUAAAUUAUGAUCACUGCUUAGAGGUCUGGAGCCUGGUACCCUAGUCUUUAAAUAGCAUAAGGGGAUAUUUUUCUGCGUAUAUUCACAUCC
Rhopilema esculentum is the source of this 3921-nucleotide non-coding RNA. The record is from RefSeq and is a predicted model, not a curated record. Lineage: Eukaryota; Metazoa; Cnidaria; Scyphozoa; Rhizostomeae; Rhizostomatidae.